GUGAGGAAUAUUGGUCAAUGGACGAGAGUCUGAACCAGCCAAGUCGCGUGAAGGAAGACGGUUCUAUGAAUUGUAAACUUCUUUUGUGCAGGAAUAAAGUGGGUUACGUGUAACCUUUUGUCUGUACUGUACGAAUAAGGAUCGGCUAACUCCGUGCCAGCAGCCGCGGUAAUACGGAGGAUCCGAGCGUUAUCCGCAUUUAUUGGGUUUAAAGGCUGCGUAGGUGGAUUGAUAAGUCAGCGGUGAAAGUUUGCAGCUUAAAAGUAAAAUUGCAGUUGAAACUGUCGGUCUUGAGUGCAAAUGAGGUAGGCGGAAUGUGUUGUGUAGCGGUGAAAUGCUUAGAUAUAACACAGAACUCCGAUUGCGAAGGCAGCUUACUGGGAUGCAACUGACACUGAUGCACGAAAGCGUGGGUAUCAAACAGGAUUAGAUACCCUAGUAGUCC
This 445-nucleotide ribosomal RNA is filed under the name uncultured bacterium. Its description in RNAcentral is "partial 16S ribosomal RNA". It matches the Rfam family "Bacterial small subunit ribosomal RNA", at positions 354 to 796 of the family's 1533-position model. The record is from RNAcentral.